AGGCUGGAAUACCCGUUCUUAGUGGUUCCUCCCAUCUCUGAGAGUCUACGUUCCAAGCUGCUCGGAUAUCCACCCCCCCGCCCCCAUAAUAUGGUUGAUCUGAACCAAACACUACAUAAAACUAAAGCCCUGGCUUCCGGCCCAAGAGCCCUCCCAGAAAGAUACCUGUAAUACCGCCCGUAAUGAUGGGCUUACACAUUAAAGGCCAAUUGGCAAAAAAGAGGGACUUAGAUCGGGGGAACACCAGAAGUUAGCCGAGUACCAGUCGUUUUAACGAGUGUAGUUUAUAUUCAGAGAAAUUCUGGCAAAUAUAGCCCUUUCUAACAUGACAAACAGCGAAGAACAGGAAGGCCAGAAUGCAUAAAGGGGGGUGGGGUGUGUGCGCGCUAACAUUUCUGACCAAACCUCGAUAUUUGCGCCCUCUGCUCUGAUGUCCCUCAUUGACCACGAGGGUGCUCCUGCUUUAGCCAGUGGCUCUGCGAGCUGUAUUUUAUAAACAGGGGAUCCCAGGCACCCAAAUAACCAGGUCGACGCCCCCAUCCGGACCAGAGGGGCAGUUUCCGGUUGUGUCCUGACCGCUGGCCCUCGUCGCGCCUGGAGGUGACCGCUGUACACCGUCAAGACCCACGGUCACUCGUCCAGAGGAAGAAAAGAAGCAAUCUCAGCAGAUGCAGGGCCCGGCGCGCCGGUGGUGGAGUUUCCAAAAGCCCUACAGGUGAUGCCACCCCGACGCCCCGCGACGCUGGCCCUGGGUAGUCUCGACCCUCUCCGGCUCCGCAGCUUCCCCCGACCCCGCGGGACGGCCGGGGCUUCGGCGGCGAGACUUGGGAAAGUGUCCCCUGCUCUGCGCACCUCCCUCGCUGCGCGGACCGCGCGCUGGAUGCCAGAGCCACGUGGGAACCCGUGUCCCUCUGGUGCAACUUGGGCGCGGACAUCACGACGGCGCUUCUUGCUGGCAGCACUUUGGUUUCGGAGGAGGAGGAGGAGGAGGAGUCAGGAGUUUGGGGGCGCAGAAAGGACGCAGCAGUGCUGGGCGCCAGAGGCCAGCUCACCCGGAGCUGGAGGACACGUUUGACAAAAUACACGAGAAAUCCCCCCGGGCAUUUCCUUUUCUCAGCCUAGAAACCUCGGGGUCUAGGUUAGCUUAAAUAUCCCAAUCAAAUCAGAGAAAAAUUAUAAAUAAAAGAUGAACAAGU
Molecule: long non-coding RNA, 1196 nt
Filed under: Heterocephalus glaber (naked mole-rat)
Lineage: Eukaryota; Metazoa; Chordata; Mammalia; Rodentia; Bathyergidae
Description: lncRNA (ENSHGLG00100046385.1)
Source: RNAcentral